AAGACAUAAAGAGCCUGCACACAGAGCUGUGAUCUUGGAUUUUGAAAUAGCAAGGACCCUACAGAUGGUGUUCUGAAAGCAGACUGGUAGAUGCAAGGCUCCUGUGAGUUUCAGCAUGCUUCUGAUCACACAAAUGGUCUUGCAUGAUAAAGCCACUGCAUCACUGUUUUCAGCAUAUGGUACCUGACCUCAGCAGUUUGUGGCUGUCAACCUGUUAAGAAGUUACUGCAUUUUACAUCAGUAGCUUUCACUUUGUUAUGUCAAAAAUGUGUCUGCACAAUAAUUGCAGUUUGAGUUGUUAUGAUACUGGAAAAAUUAAUAUAGUAUGAGUUAUUGUAGUUAAAUGUUUUGAAUGCAUAUAAACUAUUCUGGUGUUGAUGCCUUUAGCAACUGUAUCUUAGUUUUAGCCUCUGGUAACUGUGAUGCAGAGCUGUAAUUCAGGGCCAUCUUCCUUCCCCGACUUCUGCCUUGUUUGCUGAUUUAUCCAAAUGUGUUAACUCACGAUGUUUCUCAGUCAUGUUAGUGAAUUAACAAGGUCUGGCUUCUUGUAACACUGUUCUAAAAUGCUGCAUUCUUUUCCAAGUUUGGAGAUAAAGCAUUCCCAAAUGUAAGCCAUGAAAUUCAAAUCUUGCUUGAUAAAGCUGGUUUUGUUUGCUUUGGGGGGGGGGGGGAAUAAAAAGAAAAA
Molecule: long non-coding RNA, 685 nt
Organism: Pezoporus flaviventris
Lineage: Eukaryota; Metazoa; Chordata; Aves; Psittaciformes; Psittacidae
Exons: 2
Source: RefSeq, a predicted model, not a curated record